UGGGAAGUAGAUCAGAUGAUAAUCAGGAAAAAGGUUUGUAAAGUAUGGCGUCAGAUAAAAUGGAUAUUAUACAAUUGGCUGUAAAUACUGCAAGAUAAUUACUGUUUUUGGUUUUGCAACAUCUGCUACAAAUUUACAAAAAAACAUAGUAUUCAUAAAAAAAUUAAUAUGGUUAUGAAUACUUAAUCUAUGGUUAUGAUAUAAAGUUUCUGUUCAAGUUAUUAUAAAUCUUAGGAUGUGUUUUAAGGUGUAAUAAAAUAAUCCUGUGAUUCCAGUAACAUGCUUGAUAUAAAUAGUAAUGUUUUUGUCGAGCCUUCGACUUUUGUCAAAAAAGCGAGACAUAGGGAUCCUACAUUCUGUCGGCGGCAGCGUCCACAAAUAUUCACUCUGUGGUUAAAGUUUUUGAAAUUUUAAUAACUUUCUUAAACUAUCCUGGAUUUCUACCAAACUUGGACAGAAGCUUGUUUAUGAUCAUAAAAUAGUAUCCACAAGUAAAUUUAAUAAAAAAAAAAAAAAAUCCAGUUUUUCCAUAUUUUACUUAUAAAUGGACUUAGUUUUUUCUACCAGGAAACAUUAAAUUCACUCUGUGGUUAAAGUUUUAAAAAUUUUAAUAACUUUCUUAAACUAUCCUGGAUUUGUACCAAACUUGGACAGAAGCUUGUUUAUGAUCACAAGAUAGUAUCCAGAAGUAAAUUUAGUAAAAAAAAAUUAUUUUUUCCCGUAUUUUACUUAUAAAUGGACUUAGUUUUUCUGCCAGGAAACAUUAUACAUUCACUCUGUUGUUAAAUUUUUUGAAAUUUUAAUAACUUUCUUAAACUAUCCAGAAAUUUUACCAAAUUUGGACAGAAGCUUGUUUAUGAUAUAAAGAUUGUAUCCAGGAGAAAAUUUUGUAAAGUAUUUAUUUCUGUUUUUCUGUUUUUUACGUAUAAAUGGACUCAACAUUGCAUUCACUAUGUGCAUUCACCUAUCACACUGAAAAUAUAGACAACAUCAAAAGUAGGCCAGACACUGGGUUCCGCGGAACCCUUACAAAUUUUUAUAUAUCUUUCAAAACCUUUUACGAGGUCAUAUAGGGGAAUCAUUGUGACCAACAGGGCCUGCUUUUAUAUAGUAAAAAACACAAUUUUGGCACAAAAGAUUAGGUUCAGUCGAACAACCCUUACCGCCAGACUGUUUUUUAUUUCACGUAAGUUAUGAUAAUAAUAUCAAAUUUUAUUAGCUGACUGUUCGGGCCAACUGAGCUUUUCUCAUCACUUGGCGUCCGACGUCUGUAGUCUGUCGUUAACUUUUACAAAAAUCUUCUCCUCUGAAACUACUGGGCCAAAUUUAACCAAACUUGGCCACAAUCAUCAUUGAUGUAUCUAGUUUAAAAUUUGUGUUUUUUGACCUGGUCAACAAACCAAGAUGGCCGCCAUGGCUAAAAAUAGAACAUAGGGGUAAAAUGCAGGUUUUUGCCUAUAACUCAAAAACCAAAGCAUUUAGAGCAAAUCUGACAUGGGGUAAAAUUGUUAAUCAGGUCAAGAUCUAUCUGCCCUGAAAUUUUUAGAUGAAUCAGACAACCCAUUGUUGAGUUGCUGCCCCUAAAUUGGUAAUUUUAAGGAAAUUUUACUGUUUUUGGUUAUUAUCUUGAAUAUUAUUAUAGAUGGAGAUAAACUGUAAACAGCAAUAAUGUUCAGCAAAGUAAGAUUUACAAAUAAGUCAACAGGACCAAAAUGGUCAGUUGACCCCUUUAGGAGUUAUUGCCCUUUUUAGUCAAUUUUUAUCCAUUUUUCGUAAAUCUUAGUUAACUUUUACAAAAAUCUUCUCUGAAACUACCGGGGCAAAUUUUACCAAACAUAGCCAGAAUCAUUAUUAGGCUAUCUAGUUUAAAAAUUGUGUUUUGUGACUGGACAAACCAACCAAGAUGGCCGCUACGGCUAAAAAUAGAACAUAUGGGUAAAAUGCAGUUUUUGGCUUAUAACUCAAAAACCAAAGCAUUUAGAGCAAAUCUGACAAGGGGUAAAAUUGUUUAUCUGGUCAAAAUCUAUCUGCCCUGAAAUUUGUAGAUGAAUCGGACAACUGGUUGUUAGGUUGCUGCCCCUAAAUUGGUAAUUUUAAGGAAAUUUUGCUGUUUUGGGUUAUUAUCACAAACACAUCACAAUCACCUAAACACAAUUUUGUCAUGAACUGUCUGCUUCCUUUGUUUAAUUCACAUAUGCCAAGGUGAGCGACACAGGCUCUUUAUUAGAGCCUCUAGUUACAAUUACACAUAUUAUUUUCAUGAAGUUUUUUUUGUUUGAUACUUAUCAGUUGAAAUUACAUAAUUCCAAUAUUUAGACCUUAAAUUUUAAGACCAGGUUUAUAUAUACGUGUAACCAUAGGCAGAAAUUCUUUGAAUUAUAAAACAUUAAGAAUAUAUACAAUAGAAAUAUCAGUAUGAAAUUGUAUCACAUGACACCAUUCUUGGAUGCAUGCAAUAUUUACAUUUUAUUGGAAAAUCUUGACAGAGCAAACCCUUGUAUUAGAUAUCCAUUUGAAACCCAAGGUUGAGGAAGAAAUUCCCAGUAGUCCGUCAGAAAAUGAGUUUGUCAACGAUACAUUCCAAUCCAAAAGUUUGUGGGUUGGUUAGCAGGAAACUAGGGUAUUAUUUUUUUUGGCCUCGCUUUUGAUAUUUAAGAAUAAUAACUUUUCCAUGAAGUUUUGCCUUACAAAUGAAUUGAGAAAACUUGCAUCAUAGUCGUUUGAUAUUGAAUGUAAUUUGCAUUUAAACUAAUACUAAAUCUUUUCCAGAAUUAGAGACAGAUAGAACCAUUAUGUGGUCAAGACUACCUGGAAUUCCAAGUAAAAUGAAAUGGCCUGUCCUUGUAUACCAUGAUAGUGUGCACAAGAACAUGAUUGAUGUAUUUUGUAAAGCUGAUGAUGCAGUGUAAGCAAAUAAUUUUAUUACAAAUUAUGUUAACUCGUAAGGUUUUUAUAUGACCCCUUAGUCAGGCAGUGGCUGCUCUCUAUGUUUUGUAUCUGUUACUGUUUUCAAUAUUAAACAGGCCAACAGUGUUCUCCCCAGGGCCUUUUGCAUCAUGGUAAUGUGAUGCUAUAUUUCUUGAAUGUGAUGCUAUCUGAAUUGGUUUUCUUAUAGAUUAUGUUAUGGAUGUGAUGCUAUAUUUUUUAGAAACAAGAUGGUACUAUAUUUCAAAUGUCCCUGUUUACAAGGAUGCUAAAUGAAAUAUCUGGGGAGAACACUGCCCGAAAAAUGUCAUAUUGUGGGGCAUUGCAAAUUUUUAUCGUUCUGAUUUUGAUUCGAUUUUUAUCAUUUGAUUCCUCUCACAGUCUUGCGAAAUUCCAGAAACCUGUAUCUGACAUUCGGUCAGACAAACUGACAUCUUCUGUCUGACUUCUAGUUUGGAUGAUGCAUGUUUAAGUUUGCUUCAGUCAGCAUAAAGAGCAGGUAUAUUUUACCAAGCAUAUUGUACCAAAUUGAUCAUAAACUAUAGCAUAUAGCAUAAUAUAUAUACAUGUAGGUUUACAGUGAAGAUGGUUAAUCUUGAGCCAUUCUUGAGAUCUUUGAGAAGUUCUUGGGAGCAGAUUGGAAUGAGUAUUUAUGCUUUUAUAACAUUUUGAUCAAAGUUAACUUUUAGCAUGUUUUACUUGAGAGAAACAGAGGAAACAGUUGUGAAUACUUCAAAUCAUUUGAUCAAAGAAUGCAAACAAUACAUAUAUAUGUUUACAGCAUUUAAAUUGUAUUGAAUGAUUCUUUUUAAUUCAUAUUGAAUGGAAAGAUUGAUGAAAAAGAACUUUUCUUACUGAAAAAAAAAAGAUCAAGGAAAGUUAAAUACUAAACAUUUUUUAUGUAACUAUUCAACUAUGGCUUUUGAUUUGAUCAUUUGGUUAAGUACAAGUAACUGUUUCAAUCUUUAAACUGGACAUGGCUGAAGACUUAGUUUUACAUAAUACUAGACAACAUUCAAUUUUAUCCAUGUACUGUACUUUCAUGUCUUUGGACUCUACUAAGUUCAUGAAUGAUUUGUGGCAAAGUUUACAUGACGACUAACUCUUCAAAAUAAAUGAAUUUACUAACAGGUCUUCAGCCAUGAAAGUGAUUAAGAUGUUGGUCAUUUUUACAAUUGAAUUAAUUUGUAAGUUAAUAAUUGAAAAUAUUCUACGAGUGACCGAACAACAAAAUAAUUCAGCAGUGCUCAUAAGAGUUAUUAUUGUUGUUCCGUCACAAGUGGUAUAUUUUCAAAAAUCAAAUUAAAUUGUUAAUUAUGUUUUUAUAAAUAGAUCACAAAACAUGAUUAAAAAAUGUCUUAUUCCAGUAGUAUUCAUGAUAAAUAACAUCAAACAUGAGCGUAUGAUUAUAAAAAAAACCAAAUAUGACUGCAUCCAAUUUAAGUACCUUAUUGCGGCAAAUUUUUGUGAGGUUCAUAGUUUUGCCCUUUUUAUGAGGUUUUACGUAAAUGUGUAAAAAUAAAUUGCUUAAUUCUCUUACAUGCCAACUAUUUCGAUUUUUCCAUAAUAUUUUAUGAAUUUUGGGUCAAUUUACGGUUAUAAUGUUGUAAAAAUUUGAAACUGCAAAAAUUACCCAAUGCACUAUAAAGUAUAUUGCAUUUCACAUUCUUAUAAUCGAUAAUUCUGAAAAGUUAAAAGGGCAAAACUGAGAAUAAAUUUGGUACAUUUUGCAAAAAUAUGCUGAGAAAAGACAUAAAAAGUUUCAUGAGUGAAUAAUCAACCGAUAAGUGAUGAUAUCAGAUUCAUCUGAGAAAUUUCAGUAUUUCUUUGUCAUCUAUAUAAUAAUAUAUAUUUGUUUCAAUAUGUUCAUUGCAUGACUGUUAUCACUUAUUUCAGUGUAUUAUCCAGAAAGGGUUUGUCUGUUUUUAGUCCCCUAACGGCGAAGCCAAAGGGGACUAGGUUUGCACUUUGUCAGUCUGUCUGUCGGUCCCCACAAAUCAGUUUUUCCCCACUUUUUUUUAUUGUGCUUGAAGAUAUUGAUUUGAUAUUUUGUAUAAUGUUUCAUUUUGACCAGUUACAGAUCAAGUUCAAAUUUUGUUCCGAUCUGAUGAUUUUAGUGUCUCGCCUGCGACAAAAUUUAAGUCGCAUAGUUAGACAUAAGUAUUACUAUCCGGCGGUGGCGUAAACUAUUUGUAUAAAGCUUUAUAUUUCAGAAGGUAGAAGACUAGCUUGGAUGCUUCAUACCUUGUAUGCAGAUACCUUAUGUCAUGAACUUUCCGUCUGUCGUAUGACCAUUGUCCUUGACUUAUUUUCAUGGUUCAGUGACUGCUUGAAAAAAAGUUUAGUUUUUUUGUUAUGGGAAUUUCUCACUUAUAAUAAGUAAUGGGAUAACUAUAUUUGGUAUAUGGGUUCAUUUCAAGGUCUACAUGUCCAUCAGACAAGAUUCACCUGACCUCGACCUCAUUUCUUGGAUAAGUGAUCAAGGUUAAAGUUACGUGAAUAGGUCCGUUUGUCAGAUACUGAAAGCAGUAUGUCAAAUAUAUUUGGUGUAUGGAAUGAUUGUAAGGUGAACAUGUUUGUCUGGCAGGUGUCAUUUGUCCUUGACCUCAUUUUCAUGGUUCAUUGGUCAAUGGUAAGUUUUUGUGUUUUGAUCUGUUUUUCUAAAACUAUAAGCAAUAGGUCAACUAUAUUUGGUGUAUGGAAUGAUUGCAAGGUGUAAUGUCUGUCUGGCAGGUGUCAUAUGUCCUAUCUCAUUUUCGUCGUUCAUUGGUCAAUGUUAAGUUUUAUGUUUUUGUCUGUUAUUCUAAUACUAUAAUCAAUAGGUCCACUAUAUUUGGUGUAUGGAAUGAUUGUAAGGUGUACAUGUCUGUCUGGCAGGUGUCAUUUGUCCAUGACCUCAUGUUCAUGGUUCAUGGUCAAUGUAAAGUUUUUGUGUUUUGGUCUGUUUUUCUAAGUUACUAUAAGCAAUAGGUCCACUAUAUUUGGUGUAUGGAAUGAUUGUAAGGUGUACAUGUGUGUCUGGCAUGGUUUAUCUGACCAGGACCUCAUUUUCAUGGAUCAUUGAUAAUUUUAAGUUUAUGUGAUACUUGUAGUAAAACUUUUAUCAUUAGGACUAUCAACAUAAAAUUAAUCAAGGUUAGGAAAGCAGGCGAGACAUUUCAGCGUGUGGACUCUUGUGCAGAGUUGUGGUCCUUCGACUUAGAAAAUUCACGUAAAUAACUAGUUAUCUGCACUUUUUUCGUCAUGCUUGAAGAUAUUAAUUUGAUAUUUGGUAUAUAGUUUUAAUAUGACCAGUUACAGAUCUAUUUUGAAUUCUGUAUAAUACAUAGUAGAUAUUCUGCUAAGUAUCCUGAAUAUAUGGGAUCAAAGACCUAAAAAAAGUACCAUUUUCAUCGUUAUAUUAUUUCACUUUGAAAAAAAACCCAUUAUAUUCACGGUAGUUUAUUUAUGAACUGUGACACUUUAGCAGUCAAAAAUAUAUAUGCAAAUAUAUAAAAAAGAAGAUUUGUGUUAAUGCCAAUGAACAACCUAAACAAGAGACAGAAAUGACACAGAAAUUAACAACUAUAGGUCACCGUACGGCCUUCAACAAUGAGCAAAGCCCAUACCGCAUAGUCAGCUAUAAAAGGCCCCGAAAUAACAAAUGUAAAACAAUUCAAACGAGAAAAGUAACGGCUAAAUAAAUGUACAAAUAAAUGAACGAAACACAUAUGUACACAAACGACAACCACUGAACAGGCUCCUGACUUGGGACAUAUGUAAAUAAUGUGCGGGGUUAAACCAGUUUAGCGCGAUCCCAUUCCUCCCCCUACUUGGACAGUGGUGUAACAGUACAACAUAUAGGAACGAACUAUAAAAAUCAGUUUGAAAAAGCUUAACUCAUCAGAUGGAUAGAAACAUCUAACAAAAACGAGUGGCUUCAGCACUUAUACAUCCCAACAACAAAAAGACUAUUAGUACCGAUUUGAGAUUACUCGCAGUUACUGACAGCUAGUUCAAAGCCAAAAACAACUAAUAAAAAAAAUCAUGCAUCUAAAACUAAUAUGCAGAUGUAUGUUGUGAUACUUGACAAGCAUUCUGGUCUUUAGCCUCAAUUGGAGCAAAAAAAUGACUAUUUUAUGAAGAAAAUAGAAAAUGUCGUGUUUGUUAUAUUGUUAUAUAAUGAGAUUUGACUGUUUAUAAAAGAUGUCUGAUUUUUGAAUUCAAGGACCUAUACAGGCAUGACUUUUUGUCGAGCCUUCGACUUUAGUCGAAAAAGCGAGACUAAGCGAUCCUACAUUCUGGCGGCGGCGUCAACAAAUAUUCACUCUGUGGUUAAAGGUUUUGAAAAUUUUAUAACUUUCUAAACUAUCCUGGAUUUCUACCAAACUUGGACAGAAGCUUUCUUUUGAUCAUAAUAGUAUCCAGAAAAGUAAAAAAUAAAUAUUCCAGUUUUUCCGAAUUUUUACUUAAAAUGGACUUUUUUUCUACUUGGGAAACAACACAUCACUCUGUGGUAAAGUUUAGAAUUUUAAUAACUUUCUUAAACUAUCCUGGGUUUGUACCAAACUUGGACAAAAGCUUGUUUAUGAUCAUAAGAUAGUAUCCAGAAGUAAAUUUUGUAAAAAAAAUAAAUCCAUUCUAUUUGUCUUUUAGUUUCCAAGCACAGCUCCUAAUAUAACAAUAAGGAGAUGUGGUUAAUUGUCAAUAAAACAACUAUCCAUCAAAAUUCAAAAGAAGUAGAUGUACAAGCAAUUAUAGGCAACCAAAAACUCUUCAUCCAUGAGAAAACCAUGUUUUGUUUAGGGCCUUUCCAGAAUUGUGUUGGGGAAGGAAGGCACCUGUAUUAAAAUUUGAUGGGUGGUGGGUAUUUAAAAAAGAUUACUUGAACAUUUAAAUGAAAUAUCCAAUUUGAAAUGCAUGCAUGGUGGGGUCAAAUAGUCCAGUAGUCAGCACUAUGUGCUGUCAGACAUGAAUUAUCAUUUAUAUUAUUAUAUUUAUAAAUUUACUGUUUACAAAAUUUUGAAUUUUUGAAAUACUAAGGCUUUUGGUAGAAUUUAAUUAAACCUUAAACAUUGUCAAAAAAGGCUGUUCACCAAAAUGUUAAAAACUGAAAGUAUCAAUUUAAUAAUUGUCAUUUGUUUUGCAUGCUCUUUACAUUGUGAAGGUUAUUUGUAUUGCAAUUUCUAAGUCACAUUUAACAUGUUUAAGAGUUUUUUUUCAAAAAUUUGCUGCUGCAAGGUAAUAGAGUCUACAGUUAUUUGCUUAGAGUCAGAAUAAUGUAUUCAAAUGGGAUAACAGGCCUUAUGCAUCAAAACAUCAGUGCUUUUCCUUCUUAUUCUGUUUGAAAAACCGAGUAUGUAAAACUUUAAAAAAAAAAGAUUUUGCUCGCUCCUGUUGCAGACCACUCACCUGUCAAAAACUCAUUUUCAAGAAUUUUUUUAAAACAAAAAAAAUUAGCUCGCUUGCCCCAUUUUUUUUUUUAGAGCAAGUGUUCAAAGAACUAUUUAUCAAAUUGGUGUGGCCUAAUCAUCACUUUUCAUACUACAUUUUAAUUUUUAUACACCCGUCUUGAAAUUAUGGUAUAUCUCUGUCCAUCGUCAACAUGUUGCACAAUAACUCGAAAGUGCUUUCACUAGUUUCUGUGAAACUUGUUUAUAUCUAUUGACGUGCUAAUAUAAACUUCUAAUACAGACAAUGUUGCAAAAUAAUGUCUGAACGUAAUAUUUGAAUAUUUGUAUCAAAAGGGAAAUUUGCAAUUGACAUAUAAUUGAGCCUUGAUUCUAUAAGUAUAUUUGUGAGGAAUAUCUCUAAAUUGGAAAAAUAAAAUAAAAUAAAAAUACCAAGCACUUGAAAUGAGUUCAUGUACAAAAUCCAUGUGUGAUCCCAUUUAGUUUCACUUUGCAUAUUUCUUUUUUUAUUUACAGAAUGCUUGUCAAAAAAAGAAAAAACCCUCAAAUAUUGUUGAGGGGGGAUAGGACCUUUAUCGGGACUCCGGGAUCGGGUGUUUUUAAGCUCGGGAUUUCGGAAUUUACCCCUUCGGGAUCAAGGAAUUCUUUUUUUCAAAUUUCGGGAUCCGGGAUUUAUUUUUUUUUAAAUUCGGGACCUCGGGAUAUCGUGUUUUUAAGCCCGGGAUUUCGGGAUCAAGACCCCUCCUACCCCCC
Molecule: long non-coding RNA, 9068 nt
Filed under: Mytilus galloprovincialis (Mediterranean mussel)
Lineage: Eukaryota; Metazoa; Mollusca; Bivalvia; Mytilida; Mytilidae
Source: RNAcentral